Molecule: ribosomal RNA, 408 nt
Filed under: uncultured bacterium
Lineage: Bacteria
Description: partial 16S ribosomal RNA
Rfam family: Bacterial small subunit ribosomal RNA
Source: RNAcentral
GACGAACGCUGGCGGCGUGCUUAACACAUGCAAGUCGAACGGAGUGGCGAACGGGUGAGUAACACGUGGGUGACCUGCCCUGCACUUCGGGAUAAGCCUGGGAAACUGGGUCUAAUACCGGAUAGUGUGGGAUGGGCCCGCGGCCGAUCAGCGUGUUGGUGGGGUAAUGGCCUACCAAGGCGGCGACGGGUAGCCGGCCUGAGAGGGUGGACGGCCACAUGGGGCUGGAGUCACGGCCCAGACUCCUACGGGAGGCAGCAGUGGGGAAGAUUGCACAAUGGGCGGACGGCUGAUGCAGCGCAUCCGGGUGGGGGAUGACGGCCUUCGGGUUGUAAACUUCUUUCACCAUCGACGCGGUAGAUGGAGAAUAAGCACCGGCUAACUACGUGCCAGCAGCCGCGGUAAUUC